This 253-nucleotide ribosomal RNA is filed under the name uncultured bacterium. Its description in RNAcentral is "partial 16S ribosomal RNA". It matches the Rfam family "Bacterial small subunit ribosomal RNA", at positions 524 to 776 of the family's 1533-position model. The record is from RNAcentral.
UACGAAGGGGGCUAGCGUUGUUCGGAAUUACUGGGCGUAAAGCGUGCGCAGGCGGCUUCUCAAGUCAGGGGUGGAAGCCCAGAGCUCAACUCUGGAAUUGCCUUUGAGACUGAGUGGCUUGAGUACGGGAGAGGUGAGUGGAAUUCCCAGUGUAGAGGUGAAAUUCGUAGAUAUUGGGAAGAACACCGGUGGCGAAGGCGGCUCACUGGCCCGUAACUGACGCUCAUGCACGACAGCGUGGGGAUCAAACAGG